AGCAGUAGCCACGGUAAUACGAAGGGGGCUAGCGUUGUUCGGAAUUACUGGGCGUAAAGGGCGCGUAGGCGGCCAUUCAAGUUAGAUGUGAAAGCCCUGGGCUCAACCUAGGAAUUGCAUUUGAUACUGUUUGGCUUGAGUUCGGGAGAGGUGAGUGGAAUUCCGAGUGUAGAGGUGAAAUUCGUAGAUAUUCGGAAGAACACCAAUGGCGAAGGCGGCAACCUGGUCCUUGACUGACGCUGAGGCGCGAAAGCGUGGGGAGCAAACAGGAUUAGAUACCCCCGUAGUCCCUGUCUCUUAUAU
RNAcentral lists this ribosomal RNA (303 nucleotides) under uncultured bacterium. RNAcentral's name for it is "partial 16S ribosomal RNA". It matches the Rfam family "Bacterial small subunit ribosomal RNA", at positions 507 to 809 of the family's 1533-position model. The record is from RNAcentral.